This 253-nucleotide ribosomal RNA is filed under the name uncultured bacterium. RNAcentral's name for it is "partial 16S ribosomal RNA". It matches the Rfam family "Bacterial small subunit ribosomal RNA", at positions 524 to 776 of the family's 1533-position model. The record is from RNAcentral.
UACAGAGGUCUCAAGCGUUGUUCGGAUUCAUUGGGCGUAAAGGGUGCGUAGGCGGCGCGGUAAGUCGGGUGUGAAAUCUUGGAGCUUAACUCCGAAACUGCACUCGAUACUGCUUUGCUCGAGGACUGGAGAGGAGAUUGGAAUUCACGGUGUAGCAGUGAAAUGCGUAGAUAUCGUGAGGAAGACCAGUGGCGAAGGCGGGUCUCUGGACAGUUCCUGACGCUGAGGCACGAAGGUCAGGGGAGCAAACGGG